CAGCAGCCGCGGUAAUACGAAGGGGGCUAGCGUUGCUCGGAAUCACUGGGCGUAAAGGGUGCGUAGGCGGGUCUUUAAGUCAGAGGUGAAAUCCUGGAGCUCAACUCCAGAACUGCCUUUGAUACUGAGGAUCUUGAGUUCGGGAGAGGUGAGUGGAACUGCGAGUGUAGAGGUGAAAUUCGUAGAUAUUCGCAAGAACACCAGUGGCGAAGGCGGCUCACUGGCCCGAUACUGACGCUGAGGCACGAAAGCGUGGGGAGCAAACAGGAUUAGAUACCCCCGUAGUCCCUGUCUCUUAUAC
Molecule: ribosomal RNA, 301 nt
Filed under: uncultured bacterium
Lineage: Bacteria
Description: partial 16S ribosomal RNA
Rfam family: Bacterial small subunit ribosomal RNA
Source: RNAcentral